AGAACGCAGCUAACUGCGUGCAGACGUGUGAACUGCAGGACACAUGAACACCGACGUUUUGAACGCAUAUGGCGGCCUGAAAUAAAUUUCAGGCCAUGUCUGGCUGAGGGUCGGAUAUGAAAAUAAACCAAAGGAUGCCGUAUUGAGGCACUGUUCGCCUAUGUUCCAUCUCGUCACUUUUGUGUGAGUGGAGCUAGGUUAGUUGACGCAGCACAAGAGCAAGUGAGCUUUCCUGCCAAGUGCCAGUACAAGUACUGAGAUAAGUUAGUUCUCCAAGUCUUGUGAGUGCCAAGUGCGGAAAGAGACAAAAGCUUUGAGCUGCUAUGAACGCUUUAAGUUUCCUGUAAAGGAGACGAAAGGCAUAAACUCAUUGUUGCGACCUCAGAGCAGGCAAGAUUACCCGCUAAAUUUAAGC
This 415-nucleotide unclassified non-coding RNA is filed under the name plant metagenome. Its description in RNAcentral is "partial contains internal transcribed spacer 2 and large subunit ribosomal RNA". The stretch from base 1 to 113 matches the Rfam family "5.8S ribosomal RNA", at positions 40 to 154 of the family's 154-position model. The record is from RNAcentral.